Molecule: long non-coding RNA, 658 nt
Filed under: Lathyrus oleraceus (garden pea)
Lineage: Eukaryota; Viridiplantae; Streptophyta; Magnoliopsida; Fabales; Fabaceae
Description: Pisum sativum (pea) long non-coding RNA (PSAT_LNC003526)
Source: RNAcentral
AAGACGAAAUCAAAAGGCGACAAUUCUAAAAAAUCGGAGGCAGCAUUAAAAGAUACCAAACAGAAAAAACCCAAAACCGGAGAAUCAAAGAUAAACCUGGUUUGAAGAGUUGAAAGAGUUGGAAGCUUCACCAUUGCCGUCUUUACCGCCGGAGGUGAGCGCUUUUUUUGCUUCAGCCAUUGAUUUCUUUUAUGAUUUGGAAGCGAUUAAGAAAAAACGCACGUUUGAGAGAGGGUUAUGAUGUGAGAGACGUGAGUUGGAGAGAACGAUUUUGUGAAGUGAAAUUGUGAGAGAGAGCCUGAGAGGUGAUGAAUGAGGACGGAGAGAGUAAAGGUUUAGGGACGAGCGAUUUUGAGUGAGCGGGAGAGAAGCGAGAGUGACGAGAAGUGAGAUUGAGGGAGUGAGAACGAUGAGUUUACUAUUCCUCCCAUUUUUUUUUCUUUUCUUUUAUUUAUUUAAACCACAUAAAAGCCAUUUAAAAAAUUUAUACUUGUAGUCUUUCUUUGUUUUUUUAGUUAAUAGUGUACAUUAAUGUCUUGUUUGUUUGUCUUUUUUUAUUUAAUAGUGUACAUUAAUGUUUUGUUUAUUUGUCUUCCCUAUUAAUUUACUAUUUAUUAGUCUAUAGAACCCAACAGCCAAGCGGCUGGGUUUCUUUUGG